This 207-nucleotide ribosomal RNA is filed under the name uncultured bacterium. RNAcentral describes it as "partial 16S ribosomal RNA". It matches the Rfam family "Bacterial small subunit ribosomal RNA", at positions 568 to 774 of the family's 1533-position model. The record is from RNAcentral.
UGCGUAGGUGGCAUGGUAAGUCGGAUGUGAAAUCCCGGGGCUCAACCCCGGAACUGCAUUCGAUACUGCUGAGCUAGAGUACUGGAGAGGAGAUUGGAAUUUACGGUGUAGCAGUGAAAUGCGUAGAUAUCGUAAGGAAGACCAGUGGCGAAGGCGGAUCUCUGGACAGUUACUGACACUGAGGCACGAAGGCCAGGGGAGCAAACG